AGCAGAACCACGGGCACGGUGAUGAUGGUGACAAGCGCAGCAGCACCCAGCAGUCCCAGAAGAACCUUCCACGGUGUCUGCAAGCCGAGCAGAUCAAGUCCAAUUAGAGGGAAGCGUGUGGCCCCAGUUUCCGUAGGAGGGUCGGGGCUGCUCCAGAGGCAGCAGGAUUUGCAGGAAGGAAGACUGUACACAGAGAAUAAAUAACUUGGCCAAGCCAUUCAGCUAGGAAGUUGUAGAUCCUAAAUUAAGAGUUCAAGGUCUUAAUGGCUACUCUAUGCGGCCUCUCAUAGUCUUUUCAAGGGUUUUGGAGAAGAAUAAAAGAUCAGUCAUCCACAGAUGUUUGAGUGGUUACAAUGUGCCAGCCUCCCUUCUAGGUACUGGAGAUAAAGUGGGACAAGAGAGGUGAGGUCUGGACCCUUGGCACUUUCACGAUAAAAUACACAGGUAAACAUUUGCCUUUAGGGCCCCCUGUGAUUACUUCCACUCUUGCAGAUAAGAGGAUAAGGCCUCUUCAGCUUGUUCACAGCAGCUGAAAAGCAAAGCCUCUCUGUCAGUAGAGGUAAAAGAUUAAGAAUGCAG
This 579-nucleotide long non-coding RNA is filed under the name Homo sapiens (human). RNAcentral describes it as "HSALNT0042266". Lineage: Eukaryota; Metazoa; Chordata; Mammalia; Primates; Hominidae. The record is from RNAcentral.